RNAcentral lists this ribosomal RNA (1146 nucleotides) under marine metagenome. RNAcentral's name for it is "bacterial LSU rRNA". It matches the Rfam family "Archaeal large subunit ribosomal RNA", at positions 1736 to 2866 of the family's 2987-position model. The record is from RNAcentral.
UCGUACCGAGAACCGACACAGGUGCGCUGGCUUAGAAAGCUAAGGUGCUACGGGUAUACCGUAUGGUGAGGGAAUUCGGCAAAUUAGUCCUGUAGCUUAGGUAUAAGGGAUGCCUGCACACUUCAUGAGGAAUGGGGUGAGCAGGUUGCAAUGACAAGGGGGUUUCGACUGUUUAAUAAAAACACAGGCGACUGCUAGUCCGAAAGGAUUUGUAUAGUCGCUGAAUCCUGGCCGGUGCGGGUACCUAAAACUUGGGUUCAACCGAGCUAAGGGCCCGUUAACGCCGGGAGUAACUCUGACUCUCUUAAGGUAGCCAAAUGCCUUGUCGGGUAAGUUCCGACGCGCAUGAAUGGAACAACGAGAGCCCCACUGUCCCCACCUACAACCCGGUGAAGCCACAUAAGGUGGACGAACAGUCCAUCAACUUCCAUCGGGGAGAGAAGACCCCGUGGAGUUUUACUGCAGCUUGUGCUUGUAGUAUAGUAAAGAUUACAUAGUGUAUUUGGGAGCCAUGCCUCAUUUUCUUUGGGAAAUGAGUGAAGCAACGAUGUAACACCAAAUUAUUUUUGCAGUACUACUUACCCGGUGCAGACCGGGGACAUGUGCAGGUGGGCAGUUCGGCUGGGGCGGCACCCCUCUGAAAAAAUAUCAGAGGGGCCCAAAGUUUAGUUCAAACGGGUCAGAAAUCCGUUGAAGAGGGCAAAGCCAAAAACUAGACUGACUGGAUUUCCAAACGCACGGAAUUCAGAGACGAAAGUCGGGCUUAGCGAUCCUUCGUGUGCCCACUAUUGGGGCCCGAAGGUGACAGAAAAAUUACCCCAGGGAUAACAGGCUCGUCGCGGGCGAGAGCUCCUAUCGACCCCGCGGUUUGGUACCUCGAUGUCGGCUUUUCCUAUCCUGGUCCUGCAGCAGGGGCCAAGGGUGAGGCUGCUCGCCUAUUAAAAGGGAACAUGAGCUGGGUUUAGACCGUCGUGAGACAGGUCGGUCUCUGCCUGAUGGAAGCGUCGCUGUCUGAGGGGAAGUUGCUCUUAGUACGAGAGGAACAGAGCAUCGUCGCCGCUGGUGUACCGGUUGUCUGAUAAGGCAGGCCGGGCAGCUAAGCGAUUUAGGUUAAGUGCUGAAAGCAUCUAAGCACGAAGCCUAUCC